UUUUAUUUGAGAGUUUGAUCCUGGCUCAGGAUGAACGCUGGCGGCGUGCCUAACACAUGCAAGUUGAGCGAUUUACUUCGGUAAAGAGCGGCGGACGGGUGAGUAACGCGUGGGUAACCUACCCUGUACACACGGAUAACAUACCGAAAGGUAUGCUAAUACGGGAUAAUAUAUUUGAGAGGCAUCUCUUGAAUAUCAAAGGUGAGCCAGUACAGGAUGGACCCGCGUCUGAUUAGCUAGUUGGUAAGGUAACGGCUUACCAAGGCGACGAUCAGUAGCCGACCUGAGAGGGUGAUCGGCCACAUUGGAACUGAGACACGGUCCAAACUCCUACG
RNAcentral lists this ribosomal RNA (335 nucleotides) under Clostridioides difficile. RNAcentral's name for it is "bacterial SSU rRNA". It matches the Rfam family "Bacterial small subunit ribosomal RNA", at positions 1 to 343 of the family's 1533-position model. The record is from RNAcentral. Lineage: Bacteria; Bacillati; Bacillota; Clostridia; Peptostreptococcales; Peptostreptococcaceae.